RNAcentral lists this small RNA (845 nucleotides) under Pan troglodytes (chimpanzee). Its description in RNAcentral is "retained intron". Lineage: Eukaryota; Metazoa; Chordata; Mammalia; Primates; Hominidae. The record is from RNAcentral.
GCCUCUACUCAAUAGUCCCCCCAGCUUUGUGUGCUGGUCUCGGGGCUUCAUGGAGAUGAAUGGGCGGGGGGAGUUGGUGGAGUCACUCAAGAGAUUCUGUGCUUCCACGAGGCUUCCCCCCACUCCUCUGCUGCUAUUCCCUGAGGAAGAGGCCACCAAUGGCCGGGAGGGGCUCCUGCGCUUCAGUUCCUGGCCAUUUUCUAUCCAAGAUGUGGUACAACCUCUUACCCUGCAAGUUCAGAGACCCCUGGUCUCUGUGACGGUGUCAGAUGCCUCCUGGGUCUCAGAACUGCUGUGGUCACUUUUCGUCCCUUUCACGGUGUAUCAAGUAAGGUAUUAACUGUCCUCACAUUUUGGUCGCUGGGGAGAGGCUCACCUCAAGGUCAAGGAAUCAGUGGCCUCUGCCCUGUCCAUUUGUAGAUCUUUAUAUCAAGGUUCUACCACAGAGGCAACACAAAGUAUUUGCAGUAUUUACUAUUUUCCCACCCACCAUGCAAAGAGGUACCAAAGUGGGGAAUGGUGACAGCCUCUACCCUGGGUGCCCACAACAUAGCCCUGGAUUGUUUCUUUGCAGGUGGCUUCGUCCUGUUCAUCGCCAACUAGGGGAAGCGAAUGAGGAGUUUGCACUCCGUGUACAACAGGUGGUCGGGUGCACAGACAGGGUGGAGGCGGGGUCCCUGCUUAGGAGGAGAGGGAGGAAAGCUUGAGAUCUUGACACUUCCAGUCUUCCAAUUCUUCCUAGCUGGUGGCCAAGGAAUUGGGCCAGACAGGGACACGGCUCACUCCAGCUGACAAAGCAGAGCACAUGAAGCGACAAAGACACCCCAGAUUGCGCCCCCAGUCAG